UGAAGUGGACACAUUUCCCUUGGUUAAGAGAAAUCCAUGGUUUGUUGUGUUUGCCAAGAACAAAAAUGUUGGAAAUCCAGAUUAGCAGAGCUGCCACCAUUGACAUUUUUCACAUCAACCACAUCCGAAGGGCCAGGAUAUCUCUCUGUUGGUAAUCACAUCAGUUCUUCCCAGUGGAUUGUUCCAUAAUAAUUGCUGUAUGUGGGUAGCUGUGGUGAAUUAGCAUUGAACAGAGGGGGACCUGCCCAUCUUAUUCCUACCACAGGAAGCCCACCUACACAUGGGGCAGCUGACAAGACAUACUUCAAGAGGGCAAGAAGUUCCUGUCCAAGGUUACUUUGCUGAAAAAUAGAAUUGGAAAUAACAGGGACCUCAGCAUUUGGAUAUAGGACCUUUAAAAUGGUGAUCAAAUUAAAAUGAAACCAUGAGGGUGGCUCUAAUCCAAUAUGACUGUGGUCUUUAUAAGAGGAAAUUUGGACACAGAUAGUUACAGAGGGAAGACCAUGUGAAGACACAGGAAGAUGACUAUCUACAAGCCAAGGAAAGAGGCCUCAGAGAAGCCAACUCUGACCACAUUGUCCUUGGACUGUUAGGGAACUGCUGACCAAAACCACCCACCUUGGCCAGGCCCACUUGCCUGAGCUGUCUCACAACAGGAGGUCCUAAUAAGGAACACGGUGCUGCUGUUGAAAACUAACCUGCAGAAUUCGGGAGGGGCCAAAAGAGGGAGGAGACGACCAACCACCCAGAGUCCUUCUUGCUGGAAUCCAUUUUGGCUGAGAAAUGCACACGCCACCAGGAAGGGCAGUGAGUCAUACUAUGGGCCAAGCAAGAUGAUUGUCCUGAGACGGCCCGAAAACUAACCCCAUCACCGUAAAACCUGAGACUGCAAGCCACGUGGCAGAGCAGUUCUCCUGGGUUCACUUACCCUGCUGCUGUCCAAAGUCUUUUGCUUUGUCAGUACACGUGUCUCCUCAGGCAAUUCAUUUCCGAGUGUUAGACAAGAGCCCACUCUCGGGCUCUGGAAGGGGUCCCCCUUCCUGCACCAGGACUUCUAAGCAGUGGGGCUAUGAGAAAAUUAAUUUCUGUUGUUUAAGCUGUUCAAGCUAUAGUGCUUUGUUGUGGCAGCCCUAGCAAACUAACAAGAGUACACGACUCAUAAAUGGUCUAGACAUGAUUGGGACUCUGGCCAGUCUGACUCCAAAAUCUAUGCAUUACCUGAGGCCCUCUUCACUACCUACCACAAGAGGAGAAUAGCUAUGGGCUGAAUCAUCACGGCUCUCACUCCAACUAAGGAGUGUGUCACACCAAGAACUUCCCCCAGUAGAUGAGCUGCUAUUCUAGACUGAUUAUUAUCUCUUAAUUUAUGAUGACAAUGAUUAGUGCAGAAAGGUUUUACAUUGCUAUACUAUAUAAGGGGAAGAAAAAUAGAAUUUCAUGACAAUGUACCAAAGCUUUUGAACUCUGGCUUCCAUAGAUGACUGGGAACUUACUCAAGGCUAAGAAUGGUAUUCUUGGAUUGCCCAACUGAUAAAGUGAAAAAAAGAACAGUAUUUGAUACAGCUAAAGCUUUGCAAUGAACUAAAGGAAGAAAGGAACUAGCUAAGUUAAAUAUUAACUUAAACCACAACCAUUUGGCUAAGCCUGAGGUUCUUCUACAGAGUGAAUGUUAUAUUCCUUACAUAGACUCAGGAUUUUUGCAUUCUUUCAUAAUGAUAUGAUAGUUUUGCCUGACUAUAACAGUUGCUAAUCUAACACCAAUGACAAUAACAUCACAAAUCAAUUUAGUUGCUCUGUUCAGAGUUUCUAAAUCUUCCUUUUGCAAUAUGUGAACUUCCUAUAACCUAGAAUUUAUGAAAUGGAACCAUAUGUGACCUCCAUACUUUCCCCAUUUUCAGAACCCUAUCCCACUAAGAUAAUUCUUUUAAAAUAGCUGGCUAAGAAUCAUCAGGUAAAUCAUGUUACACGGAUGUUUAUGAAAAAUUUUGACUUGGU
Balaenoptera acutorostrata (minke whale) is the source of this 1995-nucleotide long non-coding RNA. RefSeq lists it as uncharacterized. NCBI's taxonomy places the organism in Eukaryota, Metazoa, Chordata, Mammalia, Artiodactyla, Balaenopteridae. The record is from RefSeq and is a predicted model, not a curated record. The transcript has 5 exons.